RNAcentral lists this ribosomal RNA (486 nucleotides) under uncultured Psychrobacter sp. Its description in RNAcentral is "bacterial SSU rRNA". It matches the Rfam family "Bacterial small subunit ribosomal RNA", at positions 39 to 523 of the family's 1533-position model. The record is from RNAcentral. Lineage: Bacteria; Pseudomonadati; Pseudomonadota; Gammaproteobacteria; Moraxellales; Moraxellaceae.
GCGGCAGCUUACCAUGCAGUCGAGCGGAACGAUGGUAGCUUGCUACCAGGCGUCGAGCGGCGGACGGGUGAGUAAUACUUAGGAAUCUACCUAGUAGUGGGGGAUAGCACGGGGAAACUCGUAUUAAUACCGCAUACGACCUACGGGAGAAAGGGGGCAGUUUACUGCUCUCGCUAUUAGAUGAGCCUAAGUCGGAUUAGCUAGAUGGUGGGGUAAAGGCCUACCAUGGCGACGACCUGUAGCUGGUCUGAGAGGAUGAUCAGCCACACCGGGACUGAGACACGGCCCGGACUCCUACGGGAGGCAGCAGUGGGGAAUAUUGGACAAUGGGGGAAACCCUGAUCCAGCCAUGCCGCGUGUGUGAAGAAGGCCUUUUGGUUGUAAAGCACUUUAAGCAGUGAAGAAGACUCUUCGGUUAAUACCCGGAGACGAUGACAUUAGCUGCAGAAUAAGCACCGGCUAACUCUGUGCCAGCAGCCGCGGUAA